Callorhinus ursinus (northern fur seal) is the source of this 671-nucleotide long non-coding RNA. RefSeq lists it as uncharacterized. The record is from RefSeq and is a predicted model, not a curated record. Lineage: Eukaryota; Metazoa; Chordata; Mammalia; Carnivora; Otariidae.
UCUGCCCAUAGGCAGCCUCAGGUCAACUCUGGGCAACCUGGGCAGGUCUGGCAGCUGGUUUUGAAGACACCAGAGGGGGUUAGGACCAUCCUACGGCCCGAGGGGUGGCCAGAUUGUCACUGCUGUGCACCUCCGAGGGUGCUUUCCUUGAAGCGACACACCGCCGAUGGGGACUGCUUGAUCAUGGGCUGACUCCCCUGAUCUGGGCAGCAGGGACUCUGGCUAUAAAAUUCUUGUUUUACGAGGUUCGCUGGGAAGCCAAAACUCCCCUGGCAAGCCUACCAGGCAGCCCCGGAGGAACGCAGCAAAAGAAGCCCUAUUGCCAAGAUGCAUUGCAUCUCAGUCGCUCUAGGAGCUACUUAUUUCUCAAAAGCCCAAACAUCCGGCCACUUGUCACAGAUCUCGGAGGAGGUCUCUGGCUCCAUCAGGAAGGGCGGACUAUGAACAAAGAUCCCAGGAUCCUGCUGUCCGUGACCCAAGCAUGGAAGCAUUUGGUUCGGGCAUGCAACUUUUGUCAUGACCACCAGAAAGACUCGGCUAAGGGACAAGACAAAUACUCACUCCUCUGGGGGCUGGAAGCUUUAGACUCAUGAACCACCAAAGCUAUACAGCUUUGGAUCAUGAUCGGGACAUUUCAGAACUAAAGUCAGUAAACUUCUACAAAGAAGCAA